CUCGGCUCGAGCCCUAGGGCCGCUGCCACCUGACACCACCUACGGCCGCGGUCGCUGUUGGCAGCACCUUCGCCCGUCUUCGCCUACGCUGCCGCCACCUCUGGUGGCCAUCGGCCCCUCCGCCCCACCCACGCAAGAGCAGUAGGAGGCGGCGGGGAGGAUGAGCAAGGAGAUGGCGGGAGGAAGAGAGAUUCUUGGCGGCACGCUUGCCUUAUUGGACAUGUUGUGCAACUCACUGUUUUUUCUCUUGCCAUCAUCUCCAAUAGUGUCGAGUCCCCUUCCUGGCGCCAAUUGCAACACAUAUCUCCUUUGACUAAUUAGCCAUUGUUUCCCGCAACCGGUUUAGUUUUGUCUCGAACAUCCGUUUUCUUUGAGAUUUGUUUUUGUCGUGUGCUGAUUAUUUAGACAUCCUCUCUGCCACCACAACCUAUCCAAGCAAGCAACAGAUCGAGGAGGACGGAGGCACGGCGCGACGACGACCGUGGCAUAGAUCAAGAGCAUGGUCAUGGGCUCAUGGCCUGGGAGCGAAUCAGGCAUCCUGGAUCACGACGGAAGCUGGAAGCCGCGAGAGCUGCCCGAAGAAGAGGGCGAUGACAUGGGCUGGAGGCCGAGGAAGAGGGCGACGAAGCGGGGGUGGAAGAGGGUGUGUCUGUGGUUAUCGCCUUCCGAGACGACGUGACUUGAUGAUUUAGAUUCGCCUUCUGAGAUGAUGCGACGCGGCAAUUCAGAUUUCUCUCCUUUCUCGCCUCAACGACAUGCUCUGCUUCUCUAGCUUGUAGGUUGUGGCCUUUCUCUUCUCCUCUUGUUUCCUUGCAUUCUGAUCAAGCCAUGGUGCAUAUUGCCUCUGGUUUGCUUAUGUGAGUGUGCUUCUAUACAGAAAAUUUGAUUUGCUUGUUUUUCAUUUCUUUACGGGUAUGAGGAGAGAGCUCUAUUGUUUGCAGCGGCUGCAUCAUUUCGACAAGUGAUAUGAUUGAUCUUUGCUAUGUGGACCAAUGGCAUGAUGUGUACCUAAGGUUGGAGGUGCUGAAUUGGAACACGUGAGAAAUCACUGAUGCGCAUGGCUGGCAGCUUUCACACGAUGAAGUAAAAUUGGCAGGACCAAUUAGGAUGCAUACCUGAAGGAGUGAAUCUACUGGUUCAGCUGAAAAUUGAUCUCUAUUUGGUUUCUGUUUUUGCGUUUGGUUUUGCCGGCCGCUCGUCCUUGGUAUGCUCAUCCAUCUUGGCUGCUCUGUUUGCCUGCUUCUCCUCUCUAACUCAGGUUCUGCGAUCUCUUGUGUUGCUGCGUCCCGAUCUUCUGCUUUGUUGCAUCGCUGUUCUGUCAUCGAAAGGACGUGUCUGUACUUGCUGGGGUGGAAUUCAAAUUGUGAGGGAUGGUUGUGCUCAGAUUUGGUCGCUGCUGGUCGGUUCUUGACUUUAGCGCAUGAAAACCUGCAACUGCUAUCAAGCGAACCACAGGAGGGAGCAGCAGGCAUAGAAGAAAUCCCAAGCCAUUUUUGCUCAGCUGUAGCAUCUUCCACUGACAAUAAGUCUGCACAGCAGCUUGGCUGAUGUUCUUGCUUAGUAUAAGCCAACAAUGGAGAAACUGACCAAGCUAUCUUUCAUGAUCAGUUACACACCAAGCCUAUAUUUUUGCUGCUUCUACAUGUUGCUAUGAUGGUCAUUCAGCCCAUUUUCUUGAACCUGCACUACAACGAGAGAUCUGGGCUGCUUCUUUGUGGCUUCCAAACUUGAAAUGUUUGUUUCGAAGUUAGUUUAGUUUUUUGUUGUGGAUUCACAGCUUCUCGCAUGUACCAUCCUCUUAGACCUUUAGAUUUCCAAAGAAACUAAAUGAAGACAUGGUGGUAUGGUCUCAAUAGUACAACUUAAAGCCUUCCAUGCUUUAUAUUUUCUCUGAAAUUUGCUCUUGAAGAAUAAUGUAUCUAUGUUAGAUCCGGUGAGAAAAGGCGGCUUCCAAGCAGAGGAUGCGGGAGUGUUGCCACAUUUGGU
This is a non-coding RNA of Aegilops tauschii subsp. strangulata, 1986 nucleotides long. The record is from RefSeq and is a predicted model, not a curated record. Lineage: Eukaryota; Viridiplantae; Streptophyta; Magnoliopsida; Poales; Poaceae.